GAGGGGUUCCACACGUACCCAUCCCGAACACGACCGUUAAGCCCUCCAGCGCCGAUGGUACUUGGACCGCAGGGUCCUGGGAGAGUAGGACGUCGCCAAGC
Molecule: ribosomal RNA, 101 nt
Filed under: Paenibacillus peoriae
Lineage: Bacteria; Bacillati; Bacillota; Bacilli; Caryophanales; Paenibacillaceae
Source: RNAcentral